UUAUGGCAAGAGUGAUGAAAACAAAAUUAGAUGUGUGAGAGUUGAAUUCCUCUAUGAGCUCAAUCAUCGAGGCUUAUUGAUAUUCUGACUUGCCUUUA
Non-coding RNA from Solanum lycopersicum (tomato), 98 nucleotides. Lineage: Eukaryota; Viridiplantae; Streptophyta; Magnoliopsida; Solanales; Solanaceae. The record is from Rfam.